ACUUGGGGGGAAAACUCCGGGUUUGCAAGAGAAAGACGGGCUUAUUACGCUUUUAGUUUUCCGAGAGUAGAGAAGCGAACGAAAAGCCCCAGGUCGUUCGGAGUAAUGAAAGUAAUGCGGAUGCUCAUUUUUGGGAUAACCUCAUCACCAUGAAAGAUAUCAUCAGCCUUGGUACUCCAUUUCAUCACUACCUUCUGCUUCUCUCAAAAAGCAACGGAACUGUGGUCUCCAAACUUCCAUUUAAGGAAAAUCUCAACAGAAACAUCUUAUUUCUCUCCUGGCCAUAUAUCUUGGGACUUUUCUGACUUGAUCCACUUCAUCAUGUUCCCCUCUCCUGGCUUUUCAACUUCUUUUUUUGUGUUUUGUUUUCCCUCAUUAGAUAGAUUGCAAGCUCCUGGAAGGUAGAAAUUAUCUUUUUGGUGGUGAGGAGGGUAUUUGUAUCCCCAGUGCUUAGCAAAAUGCCUGGCACAUAUUAGAUAUUUAGUAAAUGUUUGUUGACUGGCUCAGCAUAAGUUUCCUCAUAUAUAUAAGUGAAAGGGUUUGUUAAACCAUACCAGGGGGAACUUCAUGAGUACCUCUACUAAACGAAAAGACUUCCAGCAACUAUGAGCCAUGAGUAUUCUCCUUCUAAUUCCUACCCCAGUCCCAAUAACUCUUUAAAUAUAAGCUCACUUUUCUCUGGACUCUACAUGUACUCAUGGAAGAGUAUUGCAGAUUUUUUUUUGGUGUAAUAAGAAAAGAGGGUGUUUUGUACCAACUAUUCCUGUUGUAGUAUCCUAACAUAAUUUUUUUUAAACUUAUCCUUUACUAAAAGCUAAAAAAUAAAUUAAAGAAUUGAACUAGAUAAUCCUUCCAACUGAAUCCUCUGAUACUAAAUCCUCUGAAACCACUUCUUCAGGUUCUCCAUUACCCAGAUGGGCCAGAGCCAAAUGUCUAACAGUACAAUAUAAUAAAAUACAAUAAACAGUAAGUGCCCAAUCUAUGCCAACCACUCUGUUAAGAACUGAGGAAAUGGAAAAAAGAAAGCCAGUUUCUGCCUUCAAGAAGCUUAUAAUCUAAUGGGAGAAGACAGAAAAGGAAAUUGAAAUGGAGGUACAGAGACAGUUUUCACUCAGAGCAAAGAUAGGAAACCAAACUGUACAACUGGUGGGAAAUGAAGCCUUAACUGAGUGUCUGGACUCUCUUUAGAGGGAAGCUUGGGAGUUUUAUGCUCCUCUUUCUAAGCCUCCAAUCCAGAGGGACAGAGGAAACUGAGGGCAUAGAUGAGGUGUGAGUACCAAAACUGAAGCAAUCUCUGUGACAUUGAAUUUCCUGAUGAUGAGUUUGGGGGAUAGGGGGUAGGGAGGAGACAUGAUGAAGGUGAAGCAGAAAUGAAACAUUAUAGUACCACCUGCUCUGUCUUCUGAGAGGAAAGGAAAUAAUAGUUUGCCUUCUGUAAAUAUCCUCAUGACAACCUUUCAAAUAGUUGAAGUCAGCUCUCAUACUUCUACCUGAAUCUUUUCCUCUCCAGAUAAAACAUCUUAAUUCCUUCAACUAGAAUUCACAUAGCAUGAUGUUGAGAUAACUAUCUUGGUUGUCUUUCUCUAGAUUAGUGGUUUUUAACCCUUUUUUGUGUAUUGUGGGCCCCAUUGAGCAAUCCAGUAAAGUGAAUGAACCACUUAGAAUGAUGCUCAUUGCUUAUAUUUAUAACAAAAUUUAUAAAUUCCAAUUAGAGAUUAGAGAAAACAAAUACUUUUUUUCCUAUUUGGACUCAUAGAUCCCCUAAAAUCCAUCCAUUGAUGGGUGUUCAUGAACCCUUGGGUAAAAACCUCUGUUCUCAACACUUUCCAGUUUCUUAAUGCCUUUCCUCAAAUGUGGUAUUCUGAACACAAUAUAGUAUUCCAGAUGUGAUUUGAUUAUGACAAAGACCAGGGAAGUGUUUUUCCCUACUUUUCUUCUAAUGUUGUAUUAGUUUUCUUAUUUAUAAAAUGUUAGGAAAUAGGGAGAAGGGUUGGACUAGAUGAUCUUAAAGAUCCCUUUCAGCUCUAGAUGAUAAUCAUCUAGAAACUUAGGAUAGCACUGUUUUUUGUUUUUGCUUCCAUGUCAUGCUGUUGAUUAACUUUGAACUUUCAGUCAACUAAAAUGUCAUAUCUUUUUCAGACAAAUUUCUGUUUCACUGUUGUUUCCCCAUGAAAUCAUGACAUUGAUUUCUUUUAACUUAAGUGUAAGACUUUAUACUUACCUUAUUAGAUUCCCUUUUUAUUAGACUGGGCCCAACCUUCUGGAACCUUUUGGAUAUUGAUUAUUAACCAAUGUGUUAACUACGCCUUAUAGAUUACCCUGGAUAUAUGAUAAACCUACAGAAUUAUUAAUGUAGUUUGUCAACCCUGGAAAAAAUCAAGGAGAAAAACAGUUUCUACAGUAGUUAUUUUUAUUUACUUAGAGAAUUCUGACACAUGUGCCAGAACCCAGGCAAAGCUAAGUUCAUUAAACAGAGAAAAGACUUCAAGUUACAUAGUUUUUCAUUUGUGGAAAAUUCAAGAUGAGUAAUCUAGAGGUGCUAUAAUUCAUAUAACUGGAAAUACUCAAUGUCCAUUUGGAAUGUGAUCUACCCAACUUUUGUUUAUCAGGACUCUGAACUUAGUCCUGAUAAGAUAAUAGGGAACAACCUUGGAGUAAUUUGUAAGAUUUAGGGGCUUCUUUCAGGGCAAAGGUGGUAUUGACUCAUGUGCAGGAUUUAUGCUUGAGACAGGCGCCUCAGGUUUUAUAGCCAAGAGAAGUUAACUGAUUAUCUUGAAGUCUCCUCCUCAGAUUCAGUUUAGUGGGGUCAUUAUCAUAAUGCCAGGUCAUAUAGAAUCAAUUAGAGAUGCCUGGAAAAAUGUAUCCUGGUCAGACUCCUCCCCUUGGUCACUGUUAGUGUCACUUCCACAAGUUGCAAACAACAUAGAGCUUUUGAGGAUAGGCCCCUGGAAUAAUAAUAUUUACACUAGGUAUCUAACAGAGUUGUAAGAAAUACUUAAGAUAAUGUGUGAGUACUUUGUAACUAUUAAGUGCUGCAGGGUAUCCAAGUUAGAAAUCAGCAAAAGCUAAGUCUGAAAAGGCAGAGAGACAGAGGCAUCAAAAAAAUAAAA
Monodelphis domestica (gray short-tailed opossum) is the source of this 3110-nucleotide non-coding RNA. The record is from RefSeq and is a predicted model, not a curated record. Lineage: Eukaryota; Metazoa; Chordata; Mammalia; Didelphimorphia; Didelphidae.